Molecule: ribosomal RNA, 459 nt
Filed under: uncultured bacterium
Lineage: Bacteria
Description: partial 16S ribosomal RNA
Rfam family: Bacterial small subunit ribosomal RNA
Source: RNAcentral
CUACGGGAUGCUCCAGUAAGGAAUAUUGGGCAAUGGACGCAAGUCUGACCCAGCCAUGCCGCGUGCAGGAUGACAGCCCUACGGGUUGUAAACUGCUUUUAUACGGGAAAAAUUCCCUGGUCGUGCACCGGGGUUGAUGGUACCGUAAGAAUAAGCAUCGGCUAACUCCGUGCCAGCAGCCGCGGUAAUACGGAGGAUGCAAGCGUUAUCCGGAUUCAUUGGGUUUAAAGGGUGCGCAGGCGGAAUGAUAAGUCAGUGGUGAAAUCCUACGGCUCAACUGUAGAACUGCCAUUGAUACUUUGUUCUUGAGUACAUUUGAGGUGGGCGGAAUGUGUCAUGUAGCGGUGAAAUGCUUAGAGAUGACACAGAACACCGAUUGCGAAGGCAGCUCACUAAACUGUAACUGACGCUGAGGCACGAAAGCGUGGGGAUCAAACAGGAUUAGAUACCCUGGUAGUC